CUGGGGACCGGUUCGACCGAUUUCAGUUGGCUCAUUACGUGGCUGACUCCCAUUCUCACUCCUCUGUUAGUAAUAGGACUUCUAUUAAUGGUCGCUCCCUGCCUCCUCAGGUUCGCCUAAAAGUACAUGAGUGAAAUCACCAGAGUGACCUACUACCAGAUGCUCCUACACUCCUACAGUCGCCUCCCCACCAAACUGACACCCUUCCAGAACCUCUAGCCAGCAGGAAGUAGCCAGAUGGAAUUUGGCACCCUAUAUCAUCAAAAAGGCCAGGAUGCUAGGUAUGUUGAGGGGGCUAAGGGAUCAAAGCACCAGGCAACAACCAAUCAGGGGCCAACAGAAAGCAGUGAUAGUCGCCUGUCAAUCAGUGGGGUCUCCUGACUGAUCCUGGAAGGACAUGGAGCUCAGCAAGAUCCUCUGACCAACCCCAGGAGGACAAGGGACCCUAAAAACCUCCCUUUCCUGUCUCAAGCCCUCCCUUCCUUCCCUGAGCCUGAUAAAUUUACGAUCCAUCUGAGCCUGGGUACGACUUCCCUGGACCCCCUCGGUUGGACUAGAGGUUCUCACCCAGGAGCGAACCUCAAUAAAGCCUUGUUCAGCAGCUUUUAAUCUGCCUCCUCUUGGUCACUGGUGCCUGACCUUACACCACUAAUUUAUGUGAGAUGCCUUUGAUUCAUUGUAAGACUCC
This 688-nucleotide long non-coding RNA is filed under the name Marmota monax (woodchuck). Lineage: Eukaryota; Metazoa; Chordata; Mammalia; Rodentia; Sciuridae. The record is from RNAcentral.